GACAGCCAGGAUGUUGGCUUAGAAGCAGCCAUCAUUUAAAGAAAGCGUAAUAGCUCACUGGUCGAGUCGGCCUGCGCGGAAGAUGUAACGGGGCUAAACCAUGCACCGAAGCUGCGGCAGCGACGCUGAUGCGUUGUUGGGUAGGGGAGCGUUCUGUAAGCCUGUGAAGGUGUGCUGUGAGGCAUGCUGGAGGUAUCAGAAGUGCGAAUGCUGACAUAAGUAACGAUAAAGCGGGUGAAAAGCCCGCUCGCCGGAAGACCAAGGGUUCCUGUCCAACGUUAAUCGGGGCAGG
RNAcentral lists this ribosomal RNA (292 nucleotides) under Escherichia coli. RNAcentral describes it as "partial 23S ribosomal RNA". It matches the Rfam family "Bacterial large subunit ribosomal RNA", at positions 1088 to 1378 of the family's 2925-position model. Lineage: Bacteria; Pseudomonadati; Pseudomonadota; Gammaproteobacteria; Enterobacterales; Enterobacteriaceae. The record is from RNAcentral.